Molecule: long non-coding RNA, 896 nt
Filed under: Heterocephalus glaber (naked mole-rat)
Lineage: Eukaryota; Metazoa; Chordata; Mammalia; Rodentia; Bathyergidae
Description: lncRNA (ENSHGLG00100044363.1)
Source: RNAcentral
UGACAAGUGUUGCCCGGCCUCUAGGGGGCGCCCGCGGUCCAUGCCCUGAAGUGGAUCCCUAUGUUGUGGAGGACUCCUUUCCUUUCAGCCUUUAGUAGUCACUUUAGGCUGUGAAAGCGCUCUCCUGGCCCAAACCCUGUGCACCUCACUGUGAAUCUUAUGGUGGGGGAGAGAAGGGAGCAUGAUAUUAACACUGCCUGUGGUGUCCAGGUGGGGAAACUGAGGCUCGGGGGACUUUACUGCAAACUGAAUCACUUUUAACCUUUCAAGAUUGUGGACCCACUGGGAGUGGUGGCACAUGCUUGUUAUCCUGGCACUGUGUAGACUAAGGCAAGAGGAUUGCCACAAGUUCGAGGCCAGCUUGGGCUACAUAGCCAGACUUUGUCUCAAAGAACAAAAAACAAAAGAUAUGGACCCAAUGAUGAGACCAAACGCUGAUCUCCAGUGAAGGAAAUGUUUGUCUUGGCCAAGAAAGGAAGUCCAAGAUAACACUUAAAAUCAACCUCUCAACUCAUCGAGGCUCUGGAGAUCAUAGAGUUGUGAAACCGAAGAUCAGAUGGAGCCCCAGUUAAGGAGCAAAGAUUCUGCUCUUGGCCAAGAGUAAGGGAAAUGGGAGAUGACGUCGCCGAUCUGCUUCCCACCCGUUGGUGUCGGGUCCCGCGGGGGAACGCGAUCCUGCUGUGUCACGGAGCUGUCACCGCGCCCAGAGUUGGCCAGUCCCACACAGCCAAGUUUCAGCCAAUCAUACACAGUUGAAUGGACAGACCACACCCACCGUGACAAGCACCGCAGAGCCAAUCAGAAGAUUUCUCUACUUUGUUUCCGGUUUGGCCCAGUAGAGCCAAACAGCCCCUUCUGUUGCUUCCCGAAAGCACUGAAUGUUUUCUGGUUCUGAG